This 345-nucleotide long non-coding RNA is filed under the name Vigna radiata. RNAcentral's name for it is "long non-coding RNA (VRAD_LNC016882)". The record is from RNAcentral. Lineage: Eukaryota; Viridiplantae; Streptophyta; Magnoliopsida; Fabales; Fabaceae.
AAAACUGACCAUUUUAAUUUGAAAGUGAUCAAACACGCUUUCCGCUAUUUUAAGUUUUAUUCCGCUAUGUUAUACUUUAUCUUCGAUCGAUACCGAUUGUUCCAACACUAUCAUAUAUAUUCACAUGAAAAUGAUAACUCCCCCUGAAGUAUAGCAUGUGAAGAAAUAUGUGUAAAUGUGUAAUGCUCCCUGAUAAUUGUUUAAAACACCGUUAUUUGUGACGUAAUUUUAAUACUAAAAGCAUCUUUUUUCACUUAGAAACUUGCUUGGACUCACACAUUUUCAAUAAAUUGUGUGAAUAAGAGAGUUGAGGUUGAUUUCGAUGGUUUUAUGACUAAUUCCCCC